CUGCUUUAUGAUGCUCCCCGGGAGUUCUAAUGAUAUUUGAAUCAUCAACAUAUACGGCGAUUAUAACAAAUUCAAAUUCAGGUCCUUUUAUAAAGGUACAAGGACAAAUUGAAUUAUUCUUGUACCCUUCUUUCAACAAGUAUUUUCUCAAGCAAUUAUACCAUAUGCGCCCAUAUUGCGUCAAUCCGCAUAAGGAUUAUUGAAGCCUUAUUUAAUAAAUUUCUUGAAAAUCAUAACUUCAAAACUAUUUAAAUCCUUCAAUGAUUUCCAUUACACGCAUAUCAAGUUUUUUAUAUAUUGCUAGAUUAAAACCUGAAAUGACUACAUCCACCAUAAGAGAAUAUGUCUCCAUAUAAUCAAUGCCAUGAUAUUUUCAAUCUUCCUGUAACACAAGUCGUCUAUAUGUUUAUCGACUUGACCUUUUUAACACAAGAAUAUAUUUAUACCUCCACUGGCUUUAUACUUUUAUGUGUUGGGACUAUCCGUCCAACUUCACAUUUUUCAGGUGAAAUCAAUCUUGAUUGCGUAUUUUAUUUUAUUUUGGCCAAUCAUUUAUCUGUCCAAAUUUCAUGACUGAUCUGUGCUCAAGAUCCUCGUCAAUAUUAAUAAUUUUGAGCGCUACAUUAUAUUAACAAUAUCGUCGACGAUCACUUUAUGUCGGUUCCAUUAUUACC
RNAcentral lists this long non-coding RNA (674 nucleotides) under Nicotiana benthamiana. RNAcentral describes it as "long non-coding RNA (NBEN_LNC005453)". The record is from RNAcentral. Lineage: Eukaryota; Viridiplantae; Streptophyta; Magnoliopsida; Solanales; Solanaceae.